RNAcentral lists this ribosomal RNA (253 nucleotides) under uncultured bacterium. RNAcentral describes it as "partial 16S ribosomal RNA". It matches the Rfam family "Bacterial small subunit ribosomal RNA", at positions 524 to 776 of the family's 1533-position model. The record is from RNAcentral.
UACGAAGGGGGCUAGCGUUGUUCGGAAUUACUGGGUGUAAAGGGUUCGUAGGCGGUGCGGCAAGUUGGGAGUGAAAUCUCUGGGCUUAACCCAGAGGCUGCUUCCAAAACUGCUGUGCUUGAGUGUGGGAGAGGCGCGUGGAAUUGCAGGUGUAGCGGUGAAAUGCGUAGAUAUCUGCAGGAACACCCGUGGCGAAAGCGGCGCGCUGGACCACUACUGACGCUGAGGAGCGAAAGCCAGGGGAGCAAACGGG